RNAcentral lists this ribosomal RNA (599 nucleotides) under uncultured fungus. RNAcentral's name for it is "eukaryotic LSU rRNA". The stretch from base 283 to 436 matches the Rfam family "5.8S ribosomal RNA". The record is from RNAcentral. Lineage: Eukaryota; Fungi.
CUUGGUCAUUUAGAGGAAGUAAAAGUCGUAACAAGGUUUCCGUAGGUGAACCUGCGGAAGGAUCAUUAACCUUUCAAAUCAGGGUGCGGCGCGGCCCCCGAGGAGCGGAAACAAUCCUUGGGAGGUAUGCGGGGGCUUCGAGCCCCCCAUUUACGCACGCACGACUGCCAUCCUUACUUUACGAGCACCUUCUGUUCUCCCUCGGCGGGGCAACCUGCCGUUGGAACCGAAUAAACUCUUUUUGCAUCUAGCAUUACCUGUUCCGAAACAAACAAUCGUUACAACUUUCAACAAUGGAUCUCUUGGCUCUGGCAUCGAUGAAGAACGCAGCGAAAUGCGAUAAGUAGUGUGAAUUGCAGAAUUCAGUGAAUCAUCGAAUCUUUGAACGCACAUUGCGCCCCUCGGUAUUCCGUGGGGCAUGCCUGUUCGAGCGUCAUCUACACCCUCAAGCUCUGCUUGGUGUUGGGCGUCUGUCCCGCCUCCGCGCGUGGACUCGCCCCAAAUUCAUUGGCAGCGGUCCUUGCCUCCUCUCGCGCAGCACAUUGCGCUUCUCGAGGGGCUACGGCUCGCGUCCAACAAGCACAUUUACCGUCUUUGAC